UUCAUUCAACAUCUAUUUACGGAGCACCUGUGACCUCCUUAGCCCAAGCAAGCUCCAAAUCCCGGUGGAAAUCUCAGGCCUCUCCCAAAGGACCCGGGACCUCAGAAGCUCUGAGCUGCUCUCCUCAACGCUUUAAUCUCUUCUUGGUGAAGCCCCCCACCCUAUUACUAAGGAACCGCUGCAGCUGCUACAGAUAGAAGAAACACAGGGACAUCAAGUUAUGAAAGGCCAACAGACUUCCAUCCUUCCUUCCGUGAAACUUCACCAAGCACCCACCUGCUACUAGAUCCAAGAAUACAAAGCCAGUGGAGAGCCCCCCUCCUCUUUAUAGGGUUGUUCACAGGUUUGUGGGAGUUGAGCAGGUACGCAAAGAGCUCCAAUGGUGUUCUGUGAGAUAAAGUCCUCUGCAAGCAAGCCUUUUUUGGUCAAAGAAAUGAAGAGCCAGUGCGGAAAUCAGA
Molecule: long non-coding RNA, 458 nt
Organism: Neofelis nebulosa (Clouded leopard)
Lineage: Eukaryota; Metazoa; Chordata; Mammalia; Carnivora; Felidae
Exons: 2
Source: RefSeq, a predicted model, not a curated record